RNAcentral lists this transfer RNA (70 nucleotides) under Camelus ferus (Wild Bactrian camel). It matches the Rfam family "tRNA". From Rfam's summary of the family: Transfer RNA (tRNA) molecules are approximately 80 nucleotides in length. Their secondary structure includes four short double-helical elements and three loops (D, anti-codon, and T loops). Further hydrogen bonds mediate the characteristic L-shaped molecular structure. tRNAs have two regions of fundamental functional importance: the anti-codon, which is responsible for specific mRNA codon recognition, and the 3' end, to which the tRNAs corresponding amino acid is attached (by aminoacyl-tRNA synthetases). tRNAs cope with the degeneracy of the genetic code in two manners: having more than one tRNA (with a specific anti-codon) for a particular amino acid; and 'wobble' base-pairing, i.e. permitting non-standard base-pairing at the 3rd anti-codon position. Lineage: Eukaryota; Metazoa; Chordata; Mammalia; Artiodactyla; Camelidae. The record is from Rfam by way of RNAcentral.
GAGAGUAUAGCUCAGUGGUAAAGUGCAUGCUUAGCUAGCAUGCGGUCCUGGGUUCAAUCCCCAGUACUUA